RNAcentral lists this transfer RNA (70 nucleotides) under Loxodonta africana (African savanna elephant). It matches the Rfam family "tRNA". From Rfam's summary of the family: Transfer RNA (tRNA) molecules are approximately 80 nucleotides in length. Lineage: Eukaryota; Metazoa; Chordata; Mammalia; Proboscidea; Elephantidae. The record is from Rfam by way of RNAcentral.
ACAGUGGUGGUUCAGUGGUAGAAUUCUCACCUUCCAUGUGGGAGACCUAGGUUUAAUCCCAGCCAAUGUA